RNAcentral lists this ribosomal RNA (460 nucleotides) under uncultured bacterium. RNAcentral describes it as "partial 16S ribosomal RNA". It matches the Rfam family "Bacterial small subunit ribosomal RNA", at positions 338 to 795 of the family's 1533-position model. The record is from RNAcentral.
CCUACGGGAGGCAGCAGUGAGGAAUAUUGGUCAAUGGGCGUAAGCCUGAACCAGCCAAGUCGCGGGAGGGAUGAAGGUUCUAUGGAUCGUAAACCUCUUUUAUAAGGGAAUAAAGGGUGGGACGUGUCCUAUUUUGUAUGUACCUUAUGAAUACGGAUAGGCUAACUCCGUGCCAGCAGCCGCGGUAAUACGGAGGCACCGAGCUUUAUCCGGAUUUAUUGGGUUUAAAGGGGGCGGAGGCGGCCUUUUAAGUCAGCGGUGAAAGUCUGUGGCUCAACCAUAGAAUUGACGUUGAAACUGGGGGGCUUGAGUAUGUUUGAGGCAGGCGGAAUGCGUGGUGUAGCGGUGAAAUGCUUAGAUAUCACGCAGAACCCCGAUUGCGAAGGCAGCCUGCCAAGCCAUGACUGACGCUGAUGCACGAAAGCGUGGGGAUCAAACAGGAUUAGAUACCCCGGUAGUC